UGGGGAAUAUUGCACAAUGGGGGAAACCCUGAUGCAGCAACGCCGCGUGAAGGAAGAAGGCCUUUGGGUCGUAAACUUCUGUCCUAAGGGAAGAUAAUGACGGUACCUUUGGAGGAAGCCCCGGCUAACUACGUGCCAGCAGCCGCGGUAAUACGUAGGGGGCGAGCGUUAUCCGGAAUUAUUGGGCGUAAAGAGUGCGUAGGCGGUUUUUUAAGCGCGGGGUGAAAGGCAAUGGCUUAACCAUUGUUAGCCCUGCGAACUGGGAGACUUGAGUGCAGGAGAGGAAAGCGGAAUUCCUAGUGUAGCGGUGAAAUGCGUAGAUAUUAGGAGGAACACCAGUGGCGAAGGCGGCUUUCUGGACUGUAACUGACGCUGAGGCACGAAAGUGUGGGGAGCAAACAGG
This 403-nucleotide ribosomal RNA is filed under the name uncultured bacterium. Its description in RNAcentral is "bacterial SSU rRNA". It matches the Rfam family "Bacterial small subunit ribosomal RNA", at positions 355 to 776 of the family's 1533-position model. The record is from RNAcentral.